This 70-nucleotide transfer RNA is filed under the name Stenocatantops splendens. RNAcentral's name for it is "tRNA-Met". The record is from RNAcentral. Lineage: Eukaryota; Metazoa; Arthropoda; Insecta; Orthoptera; Acrididae.
AAAAAAGGUAAGCUAAAUAAGCUAAUGGGUUCAUACCCCGUUUAUAGAGGCAUUAAUCCUCUCCUUUUUA